AUGAACGCUGGCGGCGUGCCUAAUACAUGCAAGUCGAGCGAACGGACGAGAAGCUUGCUUCUCUGAUGCUAGCGGCGGACGGGUGAGUAACACGUGGAUAACCUACCUAUAAGACUGGGAUAACUUCGGGAAACCGGAGCUAAUACCGGAUAAUAUUUUGAACCGCAUGGUUCAAAAGUGAAAGACGGUCUUGCUGUCACUUAUAGAUGGAUCCGCGCUGCAUUAGCUAGUUGGUAAGGUAACGGCUUACCAAGGCAACGAUGCAUAGCCGACCUGAGAGGGUGAUCGGCCACACUGGAACUGAGACACGGUCCAGACUCCUACGGGAGGCAGCAGUAGGGAAUCUUCCGCAAAGGGCGAAAGCCUGACGGAGCAACGCCGCGUGAGUGAUGAAGGUCUUCGGAUCGUAAAACUCUGUUAUUAGGGAAGAACAUAUGUGUAAGUAACUGUGCACAUCUUGACGGUACCUAAUCAGAAAGCCACGGCUAACUACGUG
RNAcentral lists this ribosomal RNA (496 nucleotides) under uncultured bacterium. Its description in RNAcentral is "partial 16S ribosomal RNA". It matches the Rfam family "Bacterial small subunit ribosomal RNA", at positions 29 to 507 of the family's 1533-position model. The record is from RNAcentral.